AGGAAAAACACAUAUUAUCUUAGACUGCAAUCUAGUGUGAGGAUGAGAUGGUAUUUUAAUAGGGCUGCAUUUAUCAACUGUAACAAGGGAGGGAAUGUGCUCCAACCCAGCGCGCCUUGUGGGCAAUGCAAGCAAGAGUCAGCGAGUGCGACCGCCGGAGGAGUGCGGCGAUGGGAGGAAGGCAGACGGACAGACAGCCUGCUGGGAACGAGGGCGGUCUGCAGGUGAUCUCGCAGGGGAGGGUGCGGCACCCACUGCCCAUCUUAGCGGGAUCCCAUCCCCUCGCUCCACCAUCCUCAAUGCUCCUGGAAACCUGAAUUUCUGACUUGACUUGCGAUGGGAUUUGCAUGUCUAGCCAGUGACACUACUAUUUUCAGAAGUAAUUACAUUUUUAAUUACGCUUUUUAAUAGCUGGUAGCUGCUGCUUUGCAGUUUUGUUCCUGUCCCUCUUGGACGCACCUUGGAGCAACACCAGGAGCCUCCACUUCCCUUCCAGUGAGAUGUGAGAGUGUGAACACACAGCGAGAAAGGGGAGAACGCGUGUGUCAAUGCGUGCAACUGAUCUCGCAGCCACAUAUCACAGCUGGAGACUGAAACCAGAGCUGGGCAGUGCAUCUCAGAGCCACGGGAACAGCCCCUCAGCAUUUCCCAACACAAGUCUGGAGAAAGAAUGAGGAAGACAGAAGGGCCCAGAUCUGCAGCGUGCAGACAGAGCUGGUCCUAGGAAAAGCACACCAGCUUUCCUCUAAAUCAGGCGUUUGGGCUGAGCGCUUGUGAUUGUAGGAGAAAGGGAAAGUGAUCAUAUAAAAGCAGCCACAGGAGAGGUGAAAUAAACUCUUCAAAGAGGGCUCGUGCUGGUGCAGAUUCUGCAUUGAAAAUCCAGAGUCAGAGAAUUCUCUGUGACGUUGGGCAAGGCGCUGCAUCUCUUACCAGCUCAGACUGCCAGUUGGUCACCGAGACACACCAACCUCCGCACUGCUCCUGUCCAUGGAAACAGACAGAGGUGUGGAAGAAUGAGGGUAUAUCUUUUCUAGAGAUCCAAAAGAAGGAGAGCUCUAAAUACAACAGAAAGGAAUUAGAAGGCAGCUCAUUUUGAUCCAGGCAGAUCCUUCAACCUUUUGAAAUUUAAAGGAUCCCUGACUUUCCUGAAGCAGUCUCAAGACUCCCAUGCACCCAUGUGCAGAGAAAAUAAAAGUCCCUCUGCGCCGCCUGCUCAUUAAUUUGCUUUUCUUUUCUCAUCAUUUGUUUGCUAGCUUGUCUGCUUGGGAAGAUGGCAUGGGUUUCUAUGAUUUUCCAGUCAUUGCCUAACCCACCUGUUGUAGGGCCCAGCAGCGCUUAAUGGCACUGAGCACCACGGAGCUGCAAUGCCCAUAAGCAUGUCUGUUCCCAGUCCCUUUGGAGUCACUCCCUCACAGACACCCUUUCAUCAGCAGAUUUCAGGUGUGCAGCAAACCCUGGGCGCAUGGAGCACAGCAUACUGGAGCACUGCUGGCUGCACACCCCAGCACGCACCGGUGCGUGUCCCUGUCCAGCCAGCUACAAACAGCAGCACAGAGUGGCUGUGAUUUGGCAUCUCAUUACCACAAUGACUUCGGGAGUUCAGACCUGCUGCAGCCCUGCAACUGGAUUCUCCAGCACACCCCAUGUUGCUCCCUGGCACCCAGAGAAUCAGCUGGAUUUUGCACCAUAGGAAAGCUCUGCAAACACUGUAGUUGUUACCAACACAGACACACAUUCCCACAAAUACCACUCUCAUGCUAGAUACAUCCAACCAAGCAGCCAAAUGGUUUAAAGCCAAGCAGUGGUCUCAGAGCCAGUAAACUACAGCCCUUGGAAAUCCCUAAGAACUCCAGAGGCAGAGUGCCCACUGCUCUGCACUGUCCCAUGGCUGCUGCAGUUUCCUACCUAUGAGUGGUGUUGGUUUUGCAGACAGUGCCACAUCUGAACCUGUCAGGCUGCAACAAAUGCAUCUCAGACCCAAGAGCCAGAAGCUUUGGAUGCGGUACCUCCAGAGUGCAGCCCUCCAGGAGAUCUUGGUGACAUCCAGAGCAGAAGGACCUGGUGCUGUACCUGGAAUUACCAGUCUCAGCCCAUGGGAGUGAAGUUCGGAACGUCUGAGGCACAUCUCCUCUUCCAAAUCUUGGAAAUUCUCCCACUGUGGUUUCCCAAACCUCGGUGUUGACAUGUCUUGUUGGGCCUUAUGACACAGAAGUUGGACUGGGUCUGUACUGGAUCCCACUUUUGCCCUGAGUCUAUUAGCAUAACAUUUUAGUCCCUCUCGCUCUUCCAAACUGACACACAGUACUGCUGAAGUUCCUAAAAAUCUGGGAUUCUGCUUUUCUUGGUAAGCCCCAAACAUUUUUGAAAGGUUUGGAAGACGUCUCAGAAGUUGUCCUGAAGGAGGUCUGGUUCAUUCCUCCAUGGAUGCGUGCCUUGCCUCAGGGGUCAGAUACCAACUCAGUCAGUAGCUGUUAAGGGUUUGAUCCUCCCAUAGAUUUUGUAUGCGACUGAUAUGAAUGAAUUUUACACCUUUAUGACUUUUCUCAUCUGGCAAUUGGCUACUAAAGAUUAUUCAAACCCAUACAUUCGGUGAGACCAACUUUUCUGACGGCCACGCAGUACCCUCAGAGGGGUGAGUUUAUCAGCAGUUACCUGAUCACCCAACAAAAUAAAAGCAUUAAAAUGUGCUUUUUCUCUUCUGAAUUCUACUGUUGUUUACGAGAACGGAGGCAGUGCAUCAGGACGGGUCACCCAGUGCCCGGCGGUGUCACCGCAGCGUUGGGCGUUCCAUGGCCACACCAUCUCCUCCAUCGCACAGCCCGUGCUCAUUCCAAAGCGCUGAACCAAAGCUCAGCUGCAAAAAGGAGUCACCCUGGGCCACUGCCGGGAGGAGGUGCCGUGGUGCAGGGCUGAGCACAGGCUGUGCCAUGCCCCGCUGUCUGCCCUUCCCUUGUGCCAGCGGUGCUGUCGCUAAGAAGCACACGGGCCGUAUGGCGGGGUUUUCCAGCUUUCUAACCCGGCUUAGAAAGAAAUGAUGCAAUCCUUGGAAAGUUACUAUUGAUUUGAGCCUCAUGAAGUUGGUGGCCAAGCGUCAUCGGGUCAGAUGAGAUCAGGUCUUCCCCAGACACCCAUAUGACUGUAG
RNAcentral lists this long non-coding RNA (3142 nucleotides) under Gallus gallus (chicken). RNAcentral describes it as "lncRNA (ENSGALG00010016594.1)". Lineage: Eukaryota; Metazoa; Chordata; Aves; Galliformes; Phasianidae. The record is from RNAcentral.